RNAcentral lists this ribosomal RNA (1254 nucleotides) under Triticum aestivum (bread wheat). RNAcentral's name for it is "partial small subunit ribosomal RNA". Lineage: Eukaryota; Viridiplantae; Streptophyta; Magnoliopsida; Poales; Poaceae. The record is from RNAcentral.
AUGGCGCGCGGCAAGGUCGCCAUGAGGCUAGUCGGGAACGCGGGGGAGCGCGCCAGGAAGCACGCCAAGAGGGCCGCGGGGCUCAAGAAGAAGGCGUCGGAGCUCGCCACGCUCUGCGGGGUCCCGGUCGGGCUCGUCUGCGCCGGCACCGGCGCCGGGGCUACGCCGCUCGUGUGGGAGUCGGAGGAGGGCGUGCUCGAGAGGUAUCGACGCGCCGUCCCGCCGGAGGCCCGCGCGGGGCACACGCACCGGGCCUACCUCGAGACGGAGCUGGGCAAGCGGAGGGCCAAGCUCGCCAGGGCGCGCCACGGCUGCCCCGCCGCGCUCCCGGACUGGGACGAGGCGCUCAACGACAUGACGCUGGACGACGCGCGGGAGCUGCUCCAGGCCAUCGACGCCGCGCUGCGGGCCACGGGAGACAGGAUGGAGGCGCUGGGCUUGCCUGCCGACGGCGGCCACGGCGCGCUCGAUCAGCAGGCCGCGCCGGACUCUCCCGACGACGCCGUCAUGCCGCAGCAGCUCGGGCACGGUGGCGGCGUGCCCUGGGCCGGAGGCUACCACCCCGUGGACAUGGCCGACGCCGCCGACUUCCAGCAGCUGCAGAUGGUGCCGUACGACGGCGGGGACAACGACGGGGUGAUCGCGCCGGGCCUCGCCAAUGCUGACUACAACUACUCGGGCUGCGGCGACCAGAUGCUCGCUCCGGACUUCGCCGAUGCUGGCUACAAGUACAACUACACGGGCGGCGGCGACGGGAUGCUCACGCUGGGCUCCGCCAAUGCUGGCUGCAACUACUCGGGCGGCGGCAACGGGAUGCUCGCGCCAGGCUUCGCCAAUGCUGUCUGCAACUACUCAGGCGGCGGCGACGGGAUGCUCGCGCUGGGCCUCGCCAAUGCUGGCUACCACUACUCGGGCGGCGGCGACCAGACGCUCGCGCCGGGCUUCGGCAACGCUGACUACAAGUGGCCUGAUCUUACCAUGUGGCACACCGACAAGGUGUGCGACGCAGCCAUGCCACCUGGGUACUACCCUGACGAGGUCGCCACCGGCGGCGACUACGUGAACGCACUAUCAUCUGGUUACAGCUACACCAUGGGCAUGGGCAUGGGUAUGAGCGUGGGCGACAACUUCACCAGUCUGGAGAGCAACUACACGGCGGCGCAUUGGCAGGCCGAGGCGUUCCAGCGCUCCGACGCCAGCACCAGCACCGGCGAGCUGCUGUCAGCUGCAUCAUCGCCUCGUUAUCUCUACUAG